UCUAGUAUAAGCAUUAUACCGUGAAACUGCGAAUGGCUCAUUAAAUCAGUUAUCGUUUAUUUGAUAGUACCUUACUACUUGGAUAACCGUGGUAAUUCUAGAGCUAAUACAUGCUGAAAACCCCAACUUCGGGAGGGGUGUAUUUAUUAGAUAAAAAACCAACGCCCUUCGGGGCUUCUUGGUGAUUCAUGAUAACUUUACGGAUCGCAUGGCCUUGCGCCGGCGACGGUUCAUUCAAAUUUCUGCCCUAUCAACUUUCGAUGGUAAGGUAUUGGCUUACCAUGGUUUCAACGGGUAACGGGGAAUUAGGGUUCGAUUCCGGAGAGGGAGCCUGAGAAACGGCUACCACAUCCAAGGAAGGCAGCAGGCGCGCAAAUUACCCAAUCCCGACACGGGGAGGUAGUGACAAUAAAUACUGAUACAGGGCUCUUUUGGGUCUUGUAAUUGGAAUGAGUACAAUUUAAACCUCUUAACGAGGAACAAUUGGAGGGCAAGUCUGGUGCCAGCAGCCGCGGUAAUUCCAGCUCCAAUAGCGUAUAUUAAAGUUGUUGCAGUUAAAAAGCUCGUAGUUGAACCUUGGGUCUGGCUGGCAGGUCCGCCUCACCGCGUGUACUUGUCCGGCCGGGCCUUCCUUCUGGAGAACCUCAUGCCCUUCACUGGGCGUGUUGGGGACCAGGACUUUUACUUUGAAAAAAUUAGAGUGUUCAAAGCAGGCCUUUGCUCGAAUACGUUAGCAUGGAAUAAUAGAAUAGGACGUGCGGUCCUAUUUUGUUGGUUUCUAGGACCGCCGUAAUGAUUAAUAGGGACAGUCGGGGGCAUCAGUAUUCAAUUGUCAGAGGUGAAAUUCUUGGAUUUAUUGAAGACUAACUACUGCGAAAGCAUUUGCCAAGGAUGUUUUCAUUAA
RNAcentral lists this ribosomal RNA (904 nucleotides) under Phaeosphaeriopsis triseptata. Its description in RNAcentral is "SSU rRNA". It matches the Rfam family "Eukaryotic small subunit ribosomal RNA", at positions 59 to 976 of the family's 1831-position model. The record is from RNAcentral. Lineage: Eukaryota; Fungi; Ascomycota; Dothideomycetes; Pleosporales; Phaeosphaeriaceae.